Molecule: transfer RNA, 73 nt
Filed under: Dipodomys ordii (Ord's kangaroo rat)
Lineage: Eukaryota; Metazoa; Chordata; Mammalia; Rodentia; Heteromyidae
Rfam family: tRNA
About the family: Transfer RNA (tRNA) molecules are approximately 80 nucleotides in length. Their secondary structure includes four short double-helical elements and three loops (D, anti-codon, and T loops).
Source: Rfam by way of RNAcentral
GAGGGCAUAGCUCAAAUGGUAGAGCAUUUACUUAGCAAAUGUGAGUUCCUGAGUUCAAUUUUCAGUACUGUCA